AGAAAAGUAAGCUAAAUCAAGCUAAUGGGUUCAUACCCCAUUUAUGGAGGGAUUGGACCUCUCUUCUCUA
This 70-nucleotide transfer RNA is filed under the name Symploce tubercularis. Its description in RNAcentral is "tRNA-Met". The record is from RNAcentral. Lineage: Eukaryota; Metazoa; Arthropoda; Insecta; Blattodea; Blattellidae.